GACGAACGCUGGCGGCGUGCCUAAUACAUGCAAGUCGAACGCAUUUUCUUUCACCGUAGCUUGCUACACCGAAAGAAAAUGAGUGGCGAACGGGUGAGUAACACGUGGGUAACCUGCCCAUCAGCGGGGGAUAACACUUGGAAACAGGUGCUAAUACCGCAUAAUUCCAUUUACCGCAUGGCAGAUGGAUGAAAGGCGCUUUUGCGUCACUGAUGGAUGGACCCGCGGUGCAUUAGCUAGUUGGUGGGGUAACGGCCUACCAAGGYUGCGAUGCAUAGCCGACCUGAGAGGGUGAUCGGCCACACUGGGACUGAGACACGGCCCAGACUCCUACGGGAGGCAGCAGUAGGGAAUCUUCGGCAAUGGACGCAAGUCUGACCGAGCAACGCCGCGUGAGUGAAGAAGGUUUUCGGAUCGUAAAACUCUGUUGUUAGAGAAGAACAAGGAUGAGAGUGGAAAGUUCAUCCCUGACGGUAUCUAACCAGAAGMMMMGGUUURMUUYG
This 503-nucleotide ribosomal RNA is filed under the name uncultured bacterium. Its description in RNAcentral is "bacterial SSU rRNA". It matches the Rfam family "Bacterial small subunit ribosomal RNA", at positions 28 to 505 of the family's 1533-position model. The record is from RNAcentral.